GUCCCGGCAGGGAUAAAUGUGCUCCUGCCCUUGUGCAGCCUCAGCCAGCGCUGCCCAGGCCCAGAGGAAGAUGAAGGUCGCUGUGCUCAGCGUGGCCCUGCUCUUCACCAUCCUGCUGAGCCCCCCGGCAGAUGCCAAGGCACUCUUGGCAGGAACCCAAAAUGAUCUGCAGGAGAUUGAUUUAGUGGACGUUGGGAUCCUGGAGACGGCUCAGCCCCCUGUGCUUGAGGAGGAGGUGAAUCUUCUUCGUAAGAAACUCUCGGGUGCACUCAGGGUUCGCUGAGGACUGGUGGUGACACCCGUGCCCUGUCCCCCUCCAGCGGAAUGAGGAGAUGAUCAUCCCUGGAAGAACCCCCUGAUUUCCCUCAGAGCCCAGGGCCAUUUCCCCUGAAUGAUCAAUAAAUCCCUUCAGCAAAGCUA
Molecule: long non-coding RNA, 420 nt
Organism: Pseudopipra pipra
Lineage: Eukaryota; Metazoa; Chordata; Aves; Passeriformes; Pipridae
Exons: 5
Source: RefSeq, a predicted model, not a curated record